CCUACGGGGAGCAGCAGUGGGGAAUAUUGGACAAUGGGCGAAAGCCUGAUCCAGCCAUGCCGCGUGUGUGAAGAAGGCCUUCGGGUUGUAAAGCACUUUCAGUGGGGAAGAAAGCCUUGGGGCUAAUACCCUCGAGGAAGGACAUCACCCACAGAAGAAGCACCGGCUAACUCCGUGCCAGCAGCCGCGGUAAUACGGAGGGUGCGAGCGUUAAUCGGAAUUACUGGGCGUAAAGCGCGCGUAGGCGGUCUGAUAAGCCGGUUGUGAAAGCCCCGGGCUCAACCUGGGAACGGCAUCCGGAACUGUCAGGCUAGAGUGCGGGAGAGGAAGGUAGAAUUCCCGGUGUAGCGGUGAAAUGCGUAGAGAUCGGGAGGAAUACCAGUGGCGAAGGCGGCCUUCUGGACUGACACUGACGCUGAGGUGCGAAAGCGUGGGUAGCAAACAGGAUUAGAUACCCCAGUAGUC
RNAcentral lists this ribosomal RNA (465 nucleotides) under Vreelandella stevensii. Its description in RNAcentral is "partial 16S ribosomal RNA". It matches the Rfam family "Bacterial small subunit ribosomal RNA", at positions 338 to 795 of the family's 1533-position model. The record is from RNAcentral. Lineage: Bacteria; Pseudomonadati; Pseudomonadota; Gammaproteobacteria; Oceanospirillales; Halomonadaceae.